AUUAGUGAUAUAAUUGUUUUUUUUGAGAGAGAGAUAGCUAGGUAGCGCGUACGCUACCCGUUUCGUUUAUUUUAUUUAGAAAUAAAUUUAGUUGAAAAUGUGAAUCAAUUAGGAUUCGAAUUUGGAACCUCGGGUACCAACCACCAAACCCUUUGCCACUUGCUUUAGGGACAGUCGGUAUUAGUGAUAUAAUUGUUAAUGAAUAUAAAUGAUCACUAGCUAGCUUUGUUUUAUUAUUAUUAUUAUUAUUAUUAUUAU
Molecule: long non-coding RNA, 258 nt
Filed under: Ananas comosus (pineapple)
Lineage: Eukaryota; Viridiplantae; Streptophyta; Magnoliopsida; Poales; Bromeliaceae
Description: long non-coding RNA (ACOM_LNC002731)
Source: RNAcentral